AGUCGAACGGCAGCACGGGAGCAAUCCUGGUGGCGAGUGGCGAACGGGUGAGUAAUACAUCGGAACGUGUCCUGUAGUGGGGGAUAGCCCGGCGAAAGCCGGAUUAAUACCGCAUACGCUCUACGGAGGAAAGGGGGGGAUCUUAGGACCUCUCGCUACAGGGGCGGCCGAUGGCAGAUUAGCUAGUUGGUGGGGUAAAGGCCUACCAAGGCGACGAUCUGUAGCUGGUCUGAGAGGACGACCAGCCACACUGGGACUGAGACACGGCCCAGACUCCUACGGGAGGCAGCAGUGGGGAAUUUUGGACAAUGGGCGCAAGCCUGAUCCAGCAAUGCCGCGUGUGUGAAGAAGGCCUUCGGGUUGUAAAGCACUUUUGUCCGGAAAGAAAACCUCUGGGUUAAUACCCCGGGGGGAUGACGGUACCGGAAGAAUAAGCACCGGCUAACUACGUGCCAGCAGCCGCGGUAAUACGUAGGGUGCAAGCGUUAAUCGGAAUUACUGGGCGUAAAGCGUGCGCAGGCGGUUUGCUAAGACAGAUGUGAAAUCCCCGGGCUUAACCUGGGAACUGCAUUUGUGACUGGCAGGCUAGAGUAUGGCAGAGGGGGGUAGAAUUCCACGUGUAGCAGUGAAAUGCGUAGAGAUGUGGAGGAAUACCGAUGGCGAAGGCAGCCCCCUGGGCCAAUACUGACGCUCAUGCACGA
RNAcentral lists this ribosomal RNA (701 nucleotides) under uncultured Burkholderia sp. Its description in RNAcentral is "bacterial SSU rRNA". It matches the Rfam family "Bacterial small subunit ribosomal RNA", at positions 60 to 756 of the family's 1533-position model. Lineage: Bacteria; Pseudomonadati; Pseudomonadota; Betaproteobacteria; Burkholderiales; Burkholderiaceae. The record is from RNAcentral.